CGCCGCCGCCGCCACCCCACCCCCUGCCAAGCCCCCCUCAGCGCAGCCUGGACGACAACCGCGCUUCGAGAGGGCAGAACAACAUCCACUGCCUGUCUUCCGCACAGAGGGAUACUCGCGAUUUUGUACUUGGAUCAUCUAGCCACAUCUAUACAGGUACUUCAACGCUCGUUGGCGAGCGAGAAAAAUGCGCCAGCGAACCGUCGUCACAGGCAAGGUGGUGAGGGACAAGAGCGGUGCCGCGGCCGAACUCUCUUCCAGCGAGCACACCCAGGUUGCGUUGUCGGCGUUUAGUUUUUUGUUUUCGGAGUUGUGUGUACGCGCCUACACGUUCCCGACAAAGGUGAAGAACGUCGAGGAGGUGGAGGCCCGCUUGACCUCUCUUGGCGCGCACGUUGGGACUCGUCUUAUCAUGCUCUCCUCUGUCCGCGACCCCGUCGACCUGCAGCGCCGCCCGCUAACGAUUGACGCGGUCCUGAAGUUGCUGCAGGAGAAGCUCUGGGCACGCUGGUUUGGCCGUCCCGCCAGCGAAAUCCAGCGUGAGAGCAACUCAGAUCGCUUCUUCCUUUUCGACAGCGACCCUAUCGUUCUCCGCCACGUCCACCCAUCCCCAGACUACGUGGACAGCGAAGGCCGGUGGAACGUGAACUACGCCGGAUUCAUGGGCGGCAUCAUUCAAGGAGCACUGCAGUCAAUGGGCUUUGAGGCGGAGGUGCAGACAUAUCAUCAGCCGGAGCCCGGGAAGCCUCACCAGUCGCUGUUCGUGAUUGCUUUUGCGAAGCACGUCUGGGAUCGGGAGCGGAAGAUGCGAACCUGACGGCCCCGUGCUGAUCGCGUGGUGCGUGUGUGAGUAAGCGGCUCGCCUUCGGCACCGAGCUUCCGUUGGCGCUUCGGUGCUUUGCCUUGUGGUUUGUGCUUGUGUCGUGUCUGGCACGUGCUACGCCACGCACGCCUCUGUGGCACAGACAGAGGAAGCUGCCUCUCGCUCUCUUGCCUGAUGGAGCUGAUUACCUUACUCCUUCCUUGCAGAGGCUCGGCAUGUAUGUGAGUGUGCUGGGGCUUAUUUGCCUGCUGUGACUGUAUGCCCCCCCCCUCCCCGCCGCGAAAAGAGGCACCGGGCAUUGUGUUGGCCGAUGCUGUGCCCUUCUGUAGAACCAAGCUCCUUGUGUUUUGGCUUGCUUGGCUCUCCCCUCGCCCCAUCGGAAGCUCUACUGAUCCGAACGAAAAUCUUUAGCGGCGUUGACAUACGGAGGUACGUCGCGGGCUGCCGAAGCGAUUUGCUGGGGUUUUUCUCCGGCUCUUGCCGUGCUGCCUCGCUUUCGCGCCUCUUGCGUCGCCUAGCGGCUCUGCUUCAGAGAGAUGAAGGCGCAAGUGCCCGCCACUGAGCCAGCUGUGCUCUUUGAUGCUGCAGUGAAUUUCAUCACGUAAAACAUCAGGAAAGGGGGAACACGAUGCGCUCUCCUUCGCUGAAAAAGAACAAGUCAAAGGACGCCGUGCUGGUUGGCCUUCCUCCCGCUUGCUGUUCUCACCAAACAUGCUUCCCCGCAUCUCCGAGAGCCUAUCCAACUGCUUCGUUUCACCAUUGCCUCUCUAAAGUUCACACCCACCCACCCACCUCUGCACAAAUGACCGAUCUUGUGUACCCUCUGCACCCUCCCCUGCCCCUGUUCUCCUCACACUCAAUCAAAACAAAACAAAAAG
RNAcentral lists this unclassified non-coding RNA (1701 nucleotides) under Leishmania donovani. RNAcentral's name for it is "gene:LdHU3.35.4420(CDS-product:transport_protein_ particle_(TRAPP)_subunit_putative)". Lineage: Eukaryota; Euglenozoa; Kinetoplastea; Trypanosomatida; Trypanosomatidae. The record is from RNAcentral.